This is a long non-coding RNA of Acinonyx jubatus (cheetah), 897 nucleotides long. RefSeq lists it as uncharacterized. Lineage: Eukaryota; Metazoa; Chordata; Mammalia; Carnivora; Felidae. The transcript has 3 exons. The record is from RefSeq and is a predicted model, not a curated record.
CAACCAUUAUGAAACUGAGCAAACAGCAAGCUAAUGUUUGUGUCUUUGCUUUUGUAGCGAAGUAACAGAGGCUGGAACUCAAAAAGCUCUCAGGAAUCACUGAAAAACAAUUGCAGACGUGCAAGAAUUCAGGGAAUAUUGUACUCGAGCUCUUUGUGAGGAAUCUAUUAGAAGACCACCUUCAUCCAACUAAGAUGUGAAUGAAGAAACUGUUAGAACUAGUGAGUUCUGGAAGCUACAAGUCCGAAACCAAGGUGCAGGGCCAUAGUCCAUCUGAAGUCUCUAGGGAAGGAUCUGUUCCCUGCCUGUCUCCUAGCUUCUAGUGGUUGCGGGUAUGUCCUUGGCUUCUAGGCACAUAACCCCAGGCUCCCUCUGUCUUCGCAAGAUGGUCUCCUCUCUGUGCCUGUGCCUUCAAGACACAUUUCUAAGUGAAAAGGUGAAAUAAUAGUGUGUGGUAUAUGCAAUGAAUUAUGUAAAAACAUGUGCCUGUGCUUGAGUAUAAACAAAAUACUUUCGGAAGUACAUCCAAGAAGUCAGUAAGUGGUAGCUUCUUGGAAUAGGAACUGGGUAGCUGGGGAAGAAGUAGAAAAAAACACACUCAUGUUUUACUGUAUUUCGGUUUGUAUAUUUUUAAUAGCCAUGUUGAGAUGCAUUUCACACACCGUGAAAUUCUGCCAUUAAAAGUGUACAAUUCAGGGGCACCUGGGUGGCUCAUUCAGUUAAGCCUCUGACUCUUGGUUUGGGCUCCAGUCAUGAUCUCGCGGUUUGUGGGUUUGAGCCCCGAGUCGAGCUCUGUGCUGAGAGUGUGGAACCUGCUUGGGACUCUCUCCCUCUUUCUCUCUGCCCCUCCCCCACUCACUUGCACAUGCAUUCUCUUUUUCUCUCUCUCUCAAAAUA